GGCGCCUUGCGCGCACCGGCGGACGGCUCAGUAACACGUCGGUAACCUACCCUCGGGAGGGGGAUAACCCCGGGAAACUGGGGCUAAUCCCCCAUAGGCCUGAGGUACUGGAAGGUCCUCAGGCCGAAAGGGGCUCUGCCCGCCCGAGGAUGGGCCGGCGGCCGAUUAGGUAGUUGGUGGGGUAACGGCCCACCAAGCCGAAGAUCGGUACGGGCCAUGAGAGUGGGAGCCCGGAGAUGGACACUGAGACACGGGUCCAGGCCCUACGGGGCGCAGCAGGCGCGAAACCUCCGCAAUGCGGGCAACCGCGACGGGGGGACCCCCAGUGCCGUGGCAUCGCCACGGCUUUUCCGGAGUGUAAAAAGCUCCGGGAAUAAGGGCUGGGCAAGGCCGGUGGCAGCCGCCGCGGUAAUACCGGCGGCCCGAGUGGUGGCCGCUAUUAUUGGGCCUAAAGC
RNAcentral lists this ribosomal RNA (455 nucleotides) under Thermococcus sp. 21S2. RNAcentral describes it as "bacterial SSU rRNA". It matches the Rfam family "Archaeal small subunit ribosomal RNA", at positions 64 to 516 of the family's 1478-position model. Lineage: Archaea; Methanobacteriati; Methanobacteriota; Thermococci; Thermococcales; Thermococcaceae. The record is from RNAcentral.